UACGUAGGGGGCAAGCGUUAUCCGGAUUUACUGGGUGUAAAGGGAGCGUAGAUGGCACGGCAAGCCAGAUGUGAAAGCCCGGGGCUCAACCCCGGGACUGCAUUUGGAACUGCUGAGCUAGAGUGUCGGAGAGGCAAGUGGAAUUCCUAGUGUAGCGGUGAAAUGCGUAGAUAUUAGGAGGAACACCAGUGGCGAAGGCGGCUUGCUGGACGAUGACUGACGUUGAGGCUCGAAAGCGUGGGGAGCAAACAGG
This 253-nucleotide ribosomal RNA is filed under the name Dorea longicatena. RNAcentral's name for it is "partial 16S ribosomal RNA". It matches the Rfam family "Bacterial small subunit ribosomal RNA", at positions 524 to 776 of the family's 1533-position model. Lineage: Bacteria; Bacillati; Bacillota; Clostridia; Lachnospirales; Lachnospiraceae. The record is from RNAcentral.